This 492-nucleotide ribosomal RNA is filed under the name uncultured bacterium. RNAcentral's name for it is "partial 16S ribosomal RNA". It matches the Rfam family "Bacterial small subunit ribosomal RNA", at positions 29 to 507 of the family's 1533-position model. The record is from RNAcentral.
AGUGAACGCUGGCGGUAGGCCUAACACAUGCAAGUCGAACGGCAGCACAGUAAGAGCUUGCUCUUACGGGUGGCGAGUGGCGGACGGGUGAGGAAUACAUCGGAAUCUACUUUUUCGUGGGGGAUAACGUAGGGAAACUUACGCUAAUACAGCAUACGACCUACGGGUGAAAGCAGGGGAUCUUCGGACCUUGGGCGAGUGAAUGAGCCGAUGUCGGAUUAGCUAGUUGGCGGGGUAAAGGCCCACCAAGGCGACGAUCCGUAGCUGGUCUGAGAGGAUGAUCAGCCACACUGGAACUGAGACACGGUCCAGACUCCUACGGGAGGCAGCAGUGGGGAAUAUUGGACAAUGGGCGCAAGCCUGAUCCAGCCAUACCGCGUGGGUGAAGAAGGCCUUCGGGUUGUAAAGCCCCUUUGUUGGGAAAGAAAAGCAGCAGGUUAAUACCCCGCUGUUCUGACGGUACCCAAAGAAUAAGCACCGGCUAACUUCGUG